AACGAACGCUGGCGGCAUGCCUAACACAUGCAAGUCGAACGAAGCCUUCGGGCUUAGUGGCGCACGGGUGCGUAACGCGGGGGAAUCUGCCCCUUGCUUCGGAAUAACAGUUAGAAAUGACUGCUAAUACCGGAUGAAGUCUUCGGACCAAAGAUUUAUCGGCAAGGGAUGAGCCCGCGUAGGAUUAGGUAGUUGGUGGGGUAAAGGCCUACCAAGCCGACGAUCCUUAGCUGGUCUGAGAGGAUGAUCAGCCACACUGGGACUGAGACACGGCCCAGACUCCUACGGGAGGCAGCAGUGGGGAAUAUUGGACGAUGGACGCAAGUCUGAUCCAGCAAUGCCGCGUGAGUGAUGAAGGCCUUAGGGUUGUAAAGCUCUUUUACCAGGGAUGAUAAUGACAGUACCUGGAGAAUAAGCUCCGGCUAACUCCGUG
Molecule: ribosomal RNA, 433 nt
Filed under: uncultured bacterium
Lineage: Bacteria
Description: partial 16S ribosomal RNA
Rfam family: Bacterial small subunit ribosomal RNA
Source: RNAcentral